UACGUAGGUGACAAGCGUUGUCCGGAUUUACUGGGCGUAAAGAGCGCGCAGGCGGUCGUUCAAGUCGAGUGUGAAAGCCCCCGGCUCAACUGGGGAGGGUCACUCGAUACUGAUCGACUUGAAGGCAGGAGAGGGAAGCGGAAUUCCCGGUGUAGUGGUGAAAUGCGUAGAUAUCUGGAGGAACACCGGUGGCGAAGGCGGCAUCCUGGACCAACACUGACGCUGAGGAGCGAAAGCCAGGGGAGCAAACGGG
RNAcentral lists this ribosomal RNA (253 nucleotides) under uncultured bacterium. RNAcentral describes it as "partial 16S ribosomal RNA". It matches the Rfam family "Bacterial small subunit ribosomal RNA", at positions 524 to 776 of the family's 1533-position model. The record is from RNAcentral.